UCCUUCGGGAGAUGAGUAGAGCGGCGCACGGGUGAGUAACGCGUGGGUAAUCUACCCGACAGAUCGGGAUAACAGAUGGAAACGUCUGCUAAUACCGGAUACGCUUCAUAUUUGACUUUAUGGGGGAAAGGUGGCCUCUACAUGUAAGCUACCACUGUCGGAUGGGCCCGCGUCUCAUUAGCUUGUUGGUGGGGUAAUGGCCUACCAAGGCAACGAUGAGUAGCUGGUUUGAGAGGAUGAUCAGCCACACUGGGACUGAAACACGGCCCAGACUCCUACGGGAGGCAGCAGUGGGGAAUAUUGCGCAAUGGGGGAAACCCUGACGCAGCGACGCCGUGUGCGGGAAGAAGGCCUUCGGGUCGUAAACCGCUGUCAGGAGGGAAGAAACCAUUAGAGUCGAAUAGGCUCUUUUGCUGACGGUACCUCCAGAGGAGGCACCGGCUAACUCCGUGCCAGCAGCCGCGGUAAUACGGAGGGUGCAAGCGUUAAUCGGAAUCACUGGGCGUAAAGCGUGCGUAGGCGGCGCAGUAAGUCACGGGUGAAAGCCCUCGGCUCAACCGAGGAAUUGCCUCUGAUACUGCUGUGCUUGAGGCUU
RNAcentral lists this ribosomal RNA (595 nucleotides) under uncultured organism. Its description in RNAcentral is "bacterial SSU rRNA". It matches the Rfam family "Bacterial small subunit ribosomal RNA", at positions 76 to 650 of the family's 1533-position model. The record is from RNAcentral.